CAGGGAAUAGUUUAAAUAGAAUGUCAGCUUUGGGUGCUGAUGGCGGGGCUGUAGUUCCUUCCUUGA
This 66-nucleotide transfer RNA is filed under the name Crocuta crocuta (spotted hyena). RNAcentral's name for it is "tRNA-Pro". It matches the Rfam family "tRNA". From Rfam's summary of the family: Transfer RNA (tRNA) molecules are approximately 80 nucleotides in length. RNAcentral also lists the same sequence under 1 other name. The record is from RNAcentral. Lineage: Eukaryota; Metazoa; Chordata; Mammalia; Carnivora; Hyaenidae.